GAAGCGUCUGGAAAGGCGCGCGAUACAGGGUGACAGCCCCGUACACAAAAGCGCAUGUGCUGUGAGCUCGAUGAGUAGGGCGGGACACGUGGUAUCCUGUCUGAAUAUGGGGGGACCAUCCUCCAAGGCUAAAUACUCCUGACUGACCGAUAGUGAACCAGUACCGUGAGGGAAAGGCGAAAAGAACCCCGGCGAGGGGAGUGAAAAAGAACCUGAAACCGUGUACGUACAAGCAGUGGGAGCCCCACCACCAAAGCAUUCUCUGGUGUUGAAGGCCCUGCAAAGCAGCAUCGCGGUGGCGGAGCGUCGUUUGCGACGCCCAACACACAAAACAAGCGGUGAGUGCUUUGGGGUGGGGUGACUGCGUACCUUUUGUAUAAUGGGUCAGCGACUUAUAUUCUGUAGCAAGGUUAACCGAAUAGGGGAGCCGGAGGGAAACCGAGUCUUAAUUGGGCGUUAAGUUGCAGGGUAUAGACCCGAAACCCGGUGAUCUAGCCAUGGGCAGGUUGAAGGUUGGGUAACACUAACUGGAGGACCGAACCGACUAAUGUUGAAAAAUUAGCGGAUGACCUGUGGCUGGGGGUGAAAGGCCAAUCAAACCGGGAGAUAGCUGGUUCUCCCCGAAAGCUAUUUAGGUAGCGCCUCGUGAAUUCAUCUCCGGGGGUAGAGCACUGUUUCGGCUAGGGGGCCAUCCCGGCUUACCAACCCGAUGCAAACUGCGAAUACCGGAGAAUGUUAUCACGGGAGACACACGGCGGGUGCUAACGUCCGUCGUGAAGAGGGAAACAACCCAGACCGCCAGCUAAGGUCCCAAAGUCAUGGUUAAGUGGGAAACGAUGUGGGAAGGCCCAGACAGCCAGGAUGUUGGCUUAGAAGCAGCCAUCAUUUAAAGAAAGCGUAAUAGCUCACUGGUCGAGUCGGCCUGCGCGGAAGAUGUAACGGGGCUAAACCAUGCACCGAAGCUGCGGCAGCGACGCUGAUGCGUUGUUGGGUAGGGGAGCGUUCUGUAAGCCUGCGAAGGUGGCCUGUGAGGGUUGCUGGAGGUAUCAGAAGUGCGAAUGCUGACAUAAGUAACGAUAAAGCGGGUGAAAAGCCCGCUCGCCGGAAGACCAAGGGUUCCUGUCCAACGUUAAUCGGGGCAGGGUGAGUCGACCCCUAAGGCGAGGCCGAAAGGCGUAGUCGAUGGGAAACGGGUUAAUAUUCCCGUACUUGGUGUUACUGCGAAGGGGGGACGGAGAAGGCUAUGUUGGCCGGGCGACGGUUGUCCCGGUUUAAGCGUGUAGGUGUGUGUUCCAGGUAAAUCCGGUUCACUUUAACACUGAGGCGUGAUGACGAGGCACUACGGUGCUGAAGCAACAAAUGCCCUGCUUCCAGGAAAAGCCUCUAAGCAUCAGGUAACAUCAAAUCGUACCCCAAACCGACACAGGUGGUCAGGUAGAGAAUACCAAGGCGCUUGAGAGAACUCGGGUGAAGGAACUAGGCAAAAUGGUGCCGUAACUUCGGGAGAAGGCACGCUGACACGUAGGUGAAGUGAUUUACUCAUGGAGCUGAAGUCAGUCGAAGAUACCAGCUGGCUGCAACUGUUUAUUAAAAACACAGCACUGUGCAAACACGAAAGUGGACGUAUACGGUGUGACGCCUGCCCGGUGCCGGAAGGUUAAUUGAUGGGGUCAGCGCAAGCGAAGCUCCUGAUCGAAGCCCCGGUAAACGGCGGCCGUAACUAUAACGGUCCUAAGGUAGCGAAAUUCCUUGUCGGGUAAGUUCCGACCUGCACGAAUGGCGUAAUGAUGGCCAGGCUGUCUCCACCCGAGACUCAGUGAAAUUGAACUCGCUGUGAAGAUGCAGUGUACCCGCGGCAAGACGGAAAGACCCCGUGAACCUUUACUAUAGCUUGACACUGAACAUUGAGCCUUGAUGUGUAGGAUAGGUGGGAGGCUUUGAAGUGUGGACGCCAGUCUGCAUGGAGCCGACCUUGAAAUACCACCCUUUAAUGUUU
Molecule: ribosomal RNA, 1996 nt
Filed under: Salmonella enterica
Lineage: Bacteria; Pseudomonadati; Pseudomonadota; Gammaproteobacteria; Enterobacterales; Enterobacteriaceae
Description: partial 23S ribosomal RNA
Rfam family: Bacterial large subunit ribosomal RNA
Source: RNAcentral